GGAUGUGAGGGCGAUCUGGCUGAAACAUCCGUCACUUCACUGAUUUGCCAGGGUUGAUUCUGCCGAUCUGGCUGGCGAGGCUUCCUCAGCACUCCACUGCAUCC
This 104-nucleotide small nuclear RNA is filed under the name Fukomys damarensis (Damara mole-rat). Its description in RNAcentral is "7SK RNA". It matches the Rfam family "7SK RNA", at positions 1 to 108 of the family's 331-position model. From Rfam's summary of the family: 7SK was discovered as an abundant small nuclear RNA in the mid-70s but a possible function has only recently been suggested. Two independent studies have found that 7SK RNA binds the CDK9/cyclin T complex (known as elongation factor P-TEFb). P-TEFb activates transcription by phosphorylating the C-terminal domain of RNA polymerase II. The record is from Rfam by way of RNAcentral. Lineage: Eukaryota; Metazoa; Chordata; Mammalia; Rodentia; Bathyergidae.